GCUGGGCGUGGUGGUGCACGCCUGUAAUCCCAGCUACUCAGGAGGCUGAGGCAGGAGAAUCGCUGGAACCCAGGAGGCGGAGGUUGCAGUGAGCUGAGAUUAUGCCAUUGCACUCCAGCCUGGGCAACAGAGCGAGACUCUGUCUCAA
RNAcentral lists this non-coding RNA (148 nucleotides) under Nomascus leucogenys (northern white-cheeked gibbon). Lineage: Eukaryota; Metazoa; Chordata; Mammalia; Primates; Hylobatidae. The record is from Rfam by way of RNAcentral.